RNAcentral lists this unclassified non-coding RNA (376 nucleotides) under uncultured Actinomycetes bacterium. RNAcentral describes it as "uncultured actinobacterium contains 16S-23S intergenic spacer region". The record is from RNAcentral. Lineage: Bacteria; Bacillati; Actinomycetota; Actinomycetes.
UCCGAGUUGUCCCCGGCAGUCUCCUUAGAGUCCCCACCAUUACGUGCUGGCAACUAAGGACAGGGGUUGCGCUCGUUGCGGCACUUAAGCCAACACCUCACGGCACGAGCUGACGACAACCAUGCACCACCUGUGCACGGCCCUUACGGACCCCCCAUCUCUGGAGGAUUUCCGUGCAUGUCAAGCCCAGGUAAGGUUCUUCGCGUUGCGUCGAAUUAAACCACAUGCUCCACCGCUUGUGCGGGCCCCCGUCAAUUCCUUUGAGUUUUAGCCUUGCGGCCGUACUCCCCAGGCGGGGCACUUAAUGCGUUAGCUCCGGCACGGGAGGAGUCGACACCUCCCACACCUAGUGCCCAUCGUUUACGGCGUGGACUAC